Molecule: ribosomal RNA, 465 nt
Filed under: Vreelandella stevensii
Lineage: Bacteria; Pseudomonadati; Pseudomonadota; Gammaproteobacteria; Oceanospirillales; Halomonadaceae
Description: partial 16S ribosomal RNA
Rfam family: Bacterial small subunit ribosomal RNA
Source: RNAcentral
CCUACGGGGGGCAGCAGUGGGGAAUAUUGGACAAUGGGCGAAAGCCUGAUCCAGCCAUGCCGCGUGUGUGAAGAAGGCCUUCGGGUUGUAAAGCACUUUCAGUGGGGAAGAAAGCCUUGGGGCUAAUACCCUCGAGGAAGGACAUCACCCACAGAAGAAGCACCGGCUAACUCCGUGCCAGCAGCCGCGGUAAUACGGAGGGUGCGAGCGUUAAUCGGAAUUACUGGGCGUAAAGCGCGCGUAGGCGGUCUGAUAAGCCGGUUGUGAAAGCCCCGGGCUCAACCUGGGAACGGCAUCCGGAACUGUCAGGCUAGAGUGCAGGAGAGGAAGGUAGAAUUCCCGGUGUAGCGGUGAAAUGCGUAGAGAUCGGGAGGAAUACCAGUGGCGAAGGCAGCCUUCUGGACUGACACUGACGCUGAGGUGCGAAAGCGUGGGUAGCAAACAGGAUUAGAUACCCCAGUAGUC